This 460-nucleotide ribosomal RNA is filed under the name uncultured bacterium. RNAcentral's name for it is "partial 16S ribosomal RNA". It matches the Rfam family "Bacterial small subunit ribosomal RNA", at positions 338 to 795 of the family's 1533-position model. The record is from RNAcentral.
CCUACGGGUGGCUGCAGUGAGGAAUAUUGGUCAAUGGCCGGAAGGCUGAACCAGCCAUGCCGCGUGAAGGUCAGUGCCCUAUGGGCGUUAAACUUCUUUUGUGCGGGAGCAAUAAUGGUCACGUGUGGCCAGACGAGAGUACCGUACGAAUAAGCAUCGGCUAACUCCGUGCCAGCAGCCGCGGUAAUACGGGGGAUGCAAGCGUUAUCCGGAUUUAUUGGGGUUAAAGGGUGCGUAGGCUGGGAGGUAAGUCAGCGGUGAAAUGCCCCGGCUCAACGGGGUGAAGUGCCAUUGAUACUGCCGUGCUGGAAUGCGGAUGAAGUGUGAGGAAUGUGUGGUGUAGCGGUGAAAUGCAUAGAUAUCACACAGAACACCGAUUGCGAAGGCAUCUCACGAAUCCGCGAUUGACGCUGAUGCACGAAAGCGUGGGUAUCAAACAGGAUUAGAUACCCUUGUAGUC